RNAcentral lists this long non-coding RNA (209 nucleotides) under Capra hircus (goat). RNAcentral's name for it is "lncRNA (ENSCHIG00010004881.1)". Lineage: Eukaryota; Metazoa; Chordata; Mammalia; Artiodactyla; Bovidae. The record is from RNAcentral.
GUAUGUGUAUUAUGGACCAGAGUGGCUUGAGACAACUGAAACUGUCUUAUCAUUAAAAAGUUGUAUUUUUGUACAUUUCCAUCCUUCUACCCUUUAGGACAAGCCCAUUAUUCGGAAGUCCAGAAACCGUGAAAUCCAGCUGUAUGAACUCUCUAACUUGGAGCCGUACCGUCAGGUUGGUGGCCAGGAAGCUGUCGCGCUGAAACUGA